Molecule: long non-coding RNA, 957 nt
Organism: Raphanus sativus (radish)
Lineage: Eukaryota; Viridiplantae; Streptophyta; Magnoliopsida; Brassicales; Brassicaceae
Exons: 3
Source: RefSeq, a predicted model, not a curated record
AAGUUAUGUCGUUUCCAUUAGAACGCGUCCCUCAUCCUUUGACGGCGAGGUUAUGUCGUUUCCACUUUCCCUCGCCAAAUGAAACGCUCUGAGUUAAGAUUUCGUGAUUAAUCCACUCAAAUCGCUCCCCCACGAAGUGUAUUCAAAGCAAACUUGAAGUUCAGAAGCGGUGUGAUCUAUGUAUAAAUAGAGAUUCUUCUCCCGAUUUUUGUGUUUCGAUGAAUUGAACUAUGGUUUAGGCUACCAUGAUGCAAACUACCAUCAAUGCUAGCCGGCUUCAGAGAUACCGUUCGAAGCUUGUCGCCGGGAAGAUGUUCUCCCUCUCCGGAUUUAAUGUGUCUCAGGUGUGCUCAGAAUUUCCGGCUCUCCUUUGCUAAUACGGUUUAGUGAGGCCAUAUCCUUUGAUGAGUUAAGUGAACCGGUUUCUCCGUUGCCCAAAGAAUGCUUCCGGUUCCGCGAUCAGACAGAACUGGUCGGAUUAGCUAACACCAAUACACAGUUACCACUUACCAGAGCUGCGGAGUUUAUAGUGUAUAAACUGAAAGAGAUGGGGAAGAUUGAUGAGAAAGAUAUCUCUGGUGGAAGAGUUUGAGCAGCUAGAUUAUGAUGUGUCUAGAACUCUGAAGGCUUCUGACAUCGUGUUAGCUCAGACUACGUCUCACAUCCAAAUGUAAGCCCUUUUGUUAGCAUCAUCCUUCGAAGACGAAUCGGGAUCUUUGCUAAGUUAUAUAUGCGCAGCACCCAGCAACAACAAAAAGCAAAGGAAGUGAACUAUUUUUUUUGGAACUUUUGUAUGUUUCUGUUUGUGCUUUGUAAUGACUCAUUCUCACUCUUUGACUGUUUCUUUAUGCUUGAGUGUAUGAUCUACAGACGUAGAUAUUUCAUUGAUAUACAAACACUGUAAUAAAACUAAAUUUCGUGUUAUUAACCUAUAAUGUAGCUCUGUUUUUCCAUUAA